Molecule: long non-coding RNA, 278 nt
Organism: Zingiber officinale
Lineage: Eukaryota; Viridiplantae; Streptophyta; Magnoliopsida; Zingiberales; Zingiberaceae
Exons: 2
Source: RefSeq, a predicted model, not a curated record
CUUUCUUGCGGGCGAUCGACGAUGAUCCGGCGGAGCUAGGGCACGACAGGGGGGAGUUGAUUCACAUCUUUCUUGGUGGAUCGAGCCCCUCUCAGCUUUUCAAUUUGAUCUAUUCAUUGGAGGGGGUUGCGGAUCGUCGUCCAGUUGAGGUGGAUCGCGCGGAUCGAUUGAGAGGAAACAGAGGAUCCGCGUGCUGUGGACGUUCCCUGUUGCCGGCCACUGCCAAUUCCACUUCUUGAAGCUGUGGAGGGUUCCUGCUCGGGUUCACUACUGGAAAG